Arachis duranensis is the source of this 2752-nucleotide long non-coding RNA. RefSeq lists it as uncharacterized. Lineage: Eukaryota; Viridiplantae; Streptophyta; Magnoliopsida; Fabales; Fabaceae. The transcript is spliced from 6 exons. The record is from RefSeq and is a predicted model, not a curated record.
CUCAUCUCUGAGAAUCAGAAACAUUACCCUAACCUAAACCCAGCCACCAGCCCACCAUCACCAUCCCCCAUGGCCGAACUCUUCUUCUCCGGUAGAUGGUGCUUUCGCCACCGGCGGGAAUCAUGGGUGCCGUUGCACUCUUCUCAUCGCCAAUCCCUUCUCAUCUUUCCUCUUCCCGUCACCGUCGCACGAAGGAAGCGUUGAUCCCGUGGCAUCACCGUCGCGAAGGUUGCUCGGUCGAUCGUUGUCUCUUCAAGCGCGUGCUCUCUCUCUCUCACUCACUCUCUCUGUGUCCGAGCUUCGAGAUUUCUAUUGCUCUCUGUUCGAGUUCACUUCCUUUGUUCCGUUGUCAUCAGCCCGUCACUUUCCAUUCCUCCCUCGCCGUCACUUUCCUUCCUCCUUCGCCGCCGUGUGUUUUCCCCUCCCUAGCACAAUAGCAUGAAAACUAGAGUAAAUGAAUGGAACACAAGCACAAUAAUGCAAACACAAAUGUGACGAGGGUGCUGUUGAACAAGUGAUCGUGAAGGCAACCUUACACACACAUGUGCAAUAUCCACACAGAAGUACAGAACAUAUGUGUCAAUAUAUAGAACCUCAAAUGAAAUGUUUAAAGCUUAAUAUUACUGUUCUUGGAGAGAUGGUGGACCGGAUCAAAAGUCUUGUGGCAGCGGGUGAGCAACAGCUACCGGUAGUUAUUUUUCAAUUUGCAAGAGUAAAGAAUUUUCGAGAACAUUAUGUAUGAUACCAGGCUCUUGAUAAAUCCAGAUGUUCUUGAGGCUGCGAUGCUUUGAAAAAGGUAUUGUACCAAUAUUGUGAAUUAUUUAUGGUUGUGCAUAUUGACUAUAUUUUUAUGGCGUUGUGAUUGAUAAGUAGCGUGUACUAUAGAGAGAUCUCGCAGUACCUAUCUGUACUUUCUGGCAAACCGGAGUAUGUUAAUGAAGAUGAAGUUUUAUAUUCCACUAAGAGGAAGACAAUAAAGGAGAUACAUGCGGCUGCGGAUCGUGAAGGCAGAAGCUAAUGCGGAUACAUACUUCUGCGAUGAUUGUAAUAAAGACGUGAAUAAUGUGGUUGAUAGGUACGACUCUAAUUGGACUUAAUUAUUUAUGCAAUAUUUUCAUAAAAAAAGCAAUAUAGUUAUGCAAUUGGUUAUGUCUCUUUUUAAUUUAUUUAGUAAUAUCUAGCUUAAUACUAAUAAUUAGUAGACAAUAAGAGAACAAUUUAUUAAAAAAAAAACUGCUUUGAUUGAUGGAAAUAUCGUCUAUCCACACACAAAAAAAUUGGCAAAAUGAAAUGAAGUGCAUAGAAAAAUUUCAUAUACCUACAACAAUUUUAUACUAAAGUCUCCUAUGCUAGACUAAAAUCUUGAAAACUAAUAAGCCUAAAAAAUUGUGUUUGAACAUUUAAAUUGUGUUGAAUAUAAUUUUUAUGAUUUUAUUAUAACUAAAGGGUGACAGGCCAAGUACUAAUUGAUGUUUUUGAAUAAAAAAACAAGUAUAAGUUGAAUUUGUUGGUUUUUGAUGGUACUGCUACAACAACUAUUAUUGUGUUCGAUAAGGAGGCCACAGCUCUAUUCGGACCGACCUGUACUGAAAUGCUGAAAGAUUUUAAUGUAUGUGGUUUUUGCUGUUGAAACCAUUUGAAUGGUUAUGAUGAUUCAAUGUCGGAUGUGAAUAUAGAAGAUAAUUUUAUACCAUCCUCAGAAACUUUAGACGGUAUGAAAAAUUUUAUCUGUAUGUUUAUUUGCAUCUUUGUGUACAUCAUGGAAUAAAUUGCAUCGGUAUGACAACUGAGUAUCUAAAGAGAGUUCAUUCGGCAGAUGUGUGGGAUAUAGAAAAUCCUAUUUAUCAAUGUUAACACUAUAAAGCAUGGAUGUGGUCUGAAGAAAGGCUUGCUAAAUUCAAACAGUCGCCCCAACCAAAUUUUUCAUUAUGUUGUAUGGAAGGAAAGAUCGAGCUUCCUCUACUUUCUGUGCCACCUGAUGCUUCAUACUGGAGGAGAUCAAAGAAGUAUUCAUUUCCUAAAAAACAUAAGGGCAUUUAGUUCAAUGUUUUGUUUUACAUCAAUGGCCGAAAAAAUUAACCGUGGAGUGAACAAUGGGACUGCUCCUCCAAAUUUUAAGCCCGGGGGUCAAAACUACCAUAGCAUUGGUAGCUUACUUCCUCCGGAUACGGGGAUAGUCUGCGACCAACAUUUGUCCAGCUAUAUAUCUAUGACACAGAAAAUGAGAUUGAUAAUCGGAUACGCACACUUCGUUCCAAUGAAGCUAUAAAUGAGCGGGAUAAGAAAAUUGUGGCAAUAUUAAGAAACAUGCUAGACAAAUAUAAAUAUUUGGCAAAGAAUUUUUGCUAUGCAAGAGAUAGGUACCAAUAGGAAAAUUGCACAAACAUAAAGCUUAAAUUGAUUAGUAAAAGGACUACAGAUGGCAGGACAUACAACUUGCCAUCUGCAUCUGAAGUGGCUGCAUUGAUUGUUGGCGAUGUCGAACAACUAAGCAAAGAUAGAGAUAUUUUUAUAGAGAGUCAAACUAGAUUCGCUGAGAUAUUGUUGGCUGCAUUACCUGUGUAUUGUGAUGAAGGGGUUUUUUCUUUGUGUAUGGUCAUGGGGGUACUGGAAAAAUAUUUCUCUGAAAUCUUAUGUCUGCGGAGAUUCGCUCAAGGGUGAUAUUGUGUUAAACAUUGCUUCAAGUGGUAUUGCAUCUUUUCUUCCCAAUGGAAGAACGGCACACUUAAGGUUCAAAAUACCGCUGAAUAUA